CAGAACAACCGGGGGAGCUUGUGUUGACAGGCUGAGAGGAAGGAAUCACCUUCGACCCUUACACCUGAUGCGGAUAAUGCCGCCGUAGGAAGUCGUGGUAGAUUGUACUU
Molecule: regulatory RNA element, 110 nt
Organism: Subdoligranulum variabile DSM 15176
Lineage: Bacteria; Bacillati; Bacillota; Clostridia; Eubacteriales; Oscillospiraceae
Rfam family: TPP riboswitch aptamer (THI element)
About the family: Vitamin B(1) in its active form thiamin pyrophosphate (TPP) is an essential coenzyme that is synthesised by coupling of pyrimidine and thiazole moieties in bacteria. The previously detected thiamin-regulatory element, thi box was extended, resulting in a new, highly conserved RNA secondary structure, the THI element, which is widely distributed in eubacteria and also occurs in some archaea.
Source: Rfam